Molecule: ribosomal RNA, 1370 nt
Filed under: uncultured bacterium
Lineage: Bacteria
Description: bacterial SSU rRNA
Rfam family: Bacterial small subunit ribosomal RNA
Source: RNAcentral
GAUGAACGCUGGCGGCGUGCCUAAUACAUGCAAGUCGAGCGAACGGACGAGAAGCUUGCUUCUCUGAUGUUAGCGGCGGACGGGUGAGUAACACGUGGAUAACCUACCUAUAAGACUGGGAUAACUUCGGGAAACCGGAGCUAAUACCGGAUAAUAUUUUGAACCGCAUGGUUCAAAAGUGAAAGACGGUCUUGCUGUCACUUAUAGAUGGAUCCGCGCUGCAUUAGCUAGUUGGUAAGGUAACGGCUUACCAAGGCAACGAUGCAUAGCCGACCUGAGAGGGUGAUCGGCCACACUGGAACUGAGACACGGUCCAGACUCCUACGGGAGGCAGCAGUAGGGAAUCUUCCGCAAUGGGCGAAAGCCUGACGGAGCAACGCCGCGUGAGUGAUGAAGGUCUUCGGAUCGUAAAACUCUGUUAUUAGGGAAGAACAUAUGUGUAAGUAACUGUGCACAUCUUGACGGUACCUAAUCAGAAAGCCACGGCUAACUACGUGCCAGCAGCCGCGGUAAUACGUAAGUGGGCAGCGUUAUCGGGAAUAUUGGGCGUAAAGCGCGCGUAGGCGGUUUUUUAGUCUGAUGUGAAAGCCCACGGCUCAACCGUGGAGGGUCAUUGGAAACUGGAAAACUUGAGUGCAGAAGAGGAAAGUGGAAUUCCAUGUGUAGCGGUGAAAUGCGCAGAGAUAUGGAGGAACACCAGUGGCGAAGGCGACUUUCUGGUCUGUAACUGACGCUGAUGUGCGAAAGCGUGGGGAUCAAACAGGAUUAGAUACCCUGGUAGUCCACGCCGUAAACGAUGAGUGCUAAGUGUUAGGGGGUUUCCGCCCCUUAGUGCUGCAGCUAACGCAUUAAGCACUCCGCCUGGGGAGUACGACCGCAAGGUUGAAACUCAAAGGAAUUGACGGGGACCCGCACAAGCGGUGGAGCAUGUGGUUUAAUUCGAAGCAACGCGAAGAACCUUACCAAAUCUUGACAUCCUUUGACAACUCUAGAGAUAGAGCCUUCCCCUUCGGGGGACAAAGUGACAGGUGGUGCAUGGUUGUCGUCAGCUCGUGUCGUGAGAUGUUGGGUUAAGUCCCGCAACGAGCGCAACCCUUAAGCUUAGUUGCCAUCAUUAAGUUGGGCACUCUAAGUUGACUGCCGGUGACAAACUGGAGGAAGGUGGGGAUGACGUCAAAUCAUCAUGCCCCUUAUGAUUUGGGCUACACACGUGCUACAAUGGACAAUACAAAGGGCAGCGAAACCGCGAGGUCAAGCAAAUCCCAUAAAGUUGUUCUCAGUUCGGAUUGUAGUCUGCAACUCGACUACAUGAAGCUGGAAUCGCUAGUAAUCGUAGAUCAGCAUGCUACGGUGAAUACGUUCCCGGGUCU